This 489-nucleotide ribosomal RNA is filed under the name uncultured bacterium. RNAcentral describes it as "partial 16S ribosomal RNA". It matches the Rfam family "Bacterial small subunit ribosomal RNA", at positions 30 to 506 of the family's 1533-position model. The record is from RNAcentral.
AUUGAACGCUGGCGGCAGGCCUAACACAUGCAAGUCGAACGGUAACAGGAAGCAGCUUGCUGCUUCGCUGACGAGUGGCGGACGGGUGAGUAAUGUCUGGGAAACUGCCUGAUGGAGGGGGAUAACUACUGGAAACGGUAGCUAAUACCGCAUAACGUCGCAAGACCAAAGAGGGGGACCUUAGGGCCUCUUGCCAUCGGAUGUGCCCAGAUGGGAUUAGCUAGUAGGUGGGGUAACGGCUCACCUAGGCGACGAUCCCUAGCUGGUCUGAGAGGAUGACCAGCCACACUGGAACUGAGACACGGUCCAGACUCCUACGGGAGGCAGCAGUGGGGAAUAUUGCACAGUGGGCGCAAGCCUGAUGCAGCCAUGCCGCGUGUAUGAAGAAGGCCUUCGGGUUGUAAAGUACUUUCAGCGGGGAGGAAGGGAGUAAAGUUAAUACCUUUGCUCAUUGACGUUACCCGCAGAAGAAGCACCGGCUAACUCCGU